ACCAAAAGAAGAAAUGUGAAAAAGAGAUGAACUCUGUUGGUUUGAUUCGUCAGUCAGAGUUCCUCACUUCUGCUCUUUGUUGACGCUUUAUUUUUUCUUUUCUUUUCCUUUCCUUUCC
This 118-nucleotide non-coding RNA is filed under the name Protocruzia adhaerens. Lineage: Eukaryota; Ciliophora; Spirotrichea. The record is from RNAcentral.